Molecule: unclassified non-coding RNA, 148 nt
Organism: Macaca fascicularis (crab-eating macaque)
Lineage: Eukaryota; Metazoa; Chordata; Mammalia; Primates; Cercopithecidae
Rfam family: Metazoan signal recognition particle RNA
About the family: The signal recognition particle (SRP) is a universally conserved ribonucleoprotein.
Source: Ensembl
GCCGGGUGUGGUGGUGCGCACCUGUAAUCCCAGUUACUCGGGAGGCUGAGGCAGGAGAAUUGCUUGAUCCCAGGAAGUGGAGGCUACAGUGAGCCGAGAUUACGCCACUGCACUCCAGCCUGGGUGACAGAGCAAGACUCUGUUUCAA